GGAAAGCUGGAAAAGCUGACAAGUAUACCUGUUUCAACUGUGGUGAAAAGGGACACUCUGCAUCUGAAUGCAAGAAAGCCAAGAAAGAAAAAGAAAAAGCCUUUAUCACCAAGAAGGGAAACUGGACAGAUACAUCUGAUUCAGAAGAAGAAGUCAAUUAUGCUCUGAUGGCAAACACUGACAACAACUCUGAAUCUACUGCAAAGGUACCUCAUUC
This 217-nucleotide long non-coding RNA is filed under the name Daucus carota (carrot). RNAcentral's name for it is "long non-coding RNA (DCAR_LNC003499)". Lineage: Eukaryota; Viridiplantae; Streptophyta; Magnoliopsida; Apiales; Apiaceae. The record is from RNAcentral.